ACACACACACACACACACACAGAAUCUGAAGCAGGCUCCAGACUCUGAGGUGUCAGCACAGAGACGGAUGUGGGGUUCGAACUCAUGAACCAUGAGAUCAUGACCUGAGCUGAAAUGCUUAACCUACUGAGCCACUCAGGUGCCCCCCGGUACCCCGCCCCACUUGUGACUUUCAUCUGAUAGGAUGAGAGGGAAAAAAACAGUUAUCUUCUCAUGGGGUGUGCAGUGUCUGGUCUUGGAGUUGCCUGUGAGCCCCUCCCUCGAGGGCAGGAAUUGAGUCAUUUAAGUAUAUGUUGGAAGGGCCCUUUCCAUCACAGUUAGCUGGGGGCUGGGUGGGAGUGUAGUAGGUGCAAUUAUGUUUUGCUCUUUUUUUCUGGGUAAUUUGUUAGGAGCUGUGGAGAAAGUCUGGGUGAAAGGGAUGGGCUUGAUUUGGUGACACGAUGUUUGAGUCAUUCCUGGCUUUCAAUUAUUCACGCCACCCAGGUCUCUCUUGGCCAGCGGAUAACAAGGAUUUAGUUCAUGAUGAGCAGCUGUCUGCGAGGUGGGUGAGUCAGGCAGGGGACAGGAGGGGAGCUUCAAAAGAAUGGAAAUGGAAUUUGCUUUGUUUUCAGCAUUAUUUGGUGAUUGUCUUUGUCUCAUUGCCAAUUUGGAAAUGUAACUGACACUCCAGGUCCUGAAUGGAUGUACUUAACAUCCUCAUCUCCCUGUAAGAUCUCAUUACCUGUAUGACUAAUGCUUCUUUACCUGGCCAAACGCGAAAUUAUUUAAGACAUCUCAUUUACUUUCUGUUCUCUGUGCUGUUUCACUGGGUUCCCUACCAUGUUUUCUGAGGAACCCAGAUCUGGCUGACUCUGGACAUGUGAAAGCUAAUCAGCAGACAUGCCUGUAUUCCUUUCUUCGCGCCUUCCUUCUGCUUUUCGCCUUUUACUUCUUUUCUUCCUUCUGUAGUGACUUUUGCUAAGUCUGGGAGCAGAGAGACUGAAGUUGGCAGGUUAGUGGACAACAAACAGGAACUUGGUCUCACGAGUUGAGAAGCACAUGGUAUUAUGAAGUCACAGAGGUGGAAGGGAGAUUUGGGCCUGGAUUCUACUUCCUCCCCGGUGCCGGUGCUGGGAGCCCUGUGCCCCAUCAUCAUUGGGGAUGGGGGUGUUCAUGAUCUCCUGAGGCCACUGUUUCAUGGAGGACAAGCCCACCUUAGAAUGAGUGGAGAGAAAGAGUUUUCUCCUUGCACUAGCCCCUCUUUGCUUCUGGACGGCUGCUCCCUAGAAUCAAGGCUUGUCCCUCCCAACUGCUCAUCUUAUGCCUCUUCUCUGGGCUUCCAUAUACUACUUGUGUCAUUUCCCCUGGUCCGUGGAACAGAAGGAAACCAGAAAAGGAAGGAGAACAUGCAAGAGGAGAAGUGUCAAAUCUGAUACAUCACGACCAGGACCGAUUUCAAGGAGCUGACUGCCUGGGUUUUAUGGUUUCAAGUCUUAUAUUCAAGUCUUUUAUCCAUCCAUAAGAUUCCUUUUUUAACUUCAGUGUUUUAUACUUUUGUCCUUAAUCCUAAAGGCAAUGUAUGUUCAUUGUAGAAAUGCACAGAAAGGCAUUAGGAAAAAGAAAAAAAAAAAAAAAAAAAAAAAAAAGGAGACCUCACACCUACUAGGAUGCCUACUAUAAAAAAAAUAACAGAAAAUAACAAGCGUUGGCUAAGCUUUGAAGAUUUGGAAUCCUUGUACACUGUUGAUGGAAAUAUAAAAUGAUGCAGUCACUGUGGAAAAAAGUAUUUGUGGUUCCUCAAAAAAAAAAAAUUAAAAAUUGGAUUGCCAUAUGAUUCAGUAAUUCCACUUCUGGAGACCCAUGUUCCUAGCAGCAUAAAAGCCAAAAGGUGGAAGCCGCCCAAAUGUUGAUUGACAGAUGAGUGAGUGAACACAAUGUGGUCUGUACAUGCAGCAGAGAACCACGCAGCCUUAUAAAGGAAGGAAAUUCUAAAGCAUGCUACAACAUGGAUGAGCCUUGAGGAUGUUACGCUAAGUGAAAGGGGCCAGACACAAAAGGACAUAUACCGUAUGAUUCUACUUUAUGAAGUACCCAGAAUAGUCAAAGUCAUAAAGACAGAAGUAGAAUGGUGGUUACCAGAGGCUUUAGGAAGGAGGGCAGUGUGGGCAAUGGGGCGUUGUUUAAUGGGUACCAAGUUUCAGUUUUGCAAGAUGAAAGCAUUCUGUACAACAGUGUGAAUGUACUUAAUACUACUGACCUGUACACUUAAAAAUGGUUAAGAUGGUUAAGUUCUAUGUUAGGACUAUUUUACCAUACAGGAAAAAAAAGAAAACAAAAGGAAAAAGAAAUUGUUCCAAAUCCUCCCUCCUGGAGAUGACCCCCAUUAUCUUCAGGUACAUUUUCCUCCCAGACACAUUCUCCACCGUGGUGCUUGUGUUUGUCAUUGGGGCAGCUAGUAAUUUUCCUCUAAGGGUUGGUAAGUGGGAGUCCCCUGAGAAGUGCCCAGCCUGGCCUUUUUUGCUUGAGGUGCUGUCCACACUGACAGCAGAGCAGACAGGACAACUGUCCCUCUGCUGGCGGAGUCUGAUUUGAUGGUAUCUGUUCUGAGUGUGAAGUUUUUUUUAUUAAAAAAUUUUUUUUAAUGUUUAUUUAUUUUUGAGAGCCAGAGAGAGACAGAGCAGGAGCGGAGCAGGGUCAGAGAGAGAAGGAGACACAGAAUCCAAAACAAGCUCCGGGCUCUGAGCUGUCAGCACAGAGCCUGAUGUGGGGCUCGAACCCAGAACCAUGAGAUCACGACUUGAGCCGAAGUCAGAUGCUCAACCGACUGAGCCACCCAGGCGCCUCUGGAGUUUUGAUUUUAACACACGAGUGGCUCUGGUGUCUUAGGCAAGUCAUUGUCCCUGGGCCUCAGUUUUCACUGUGUAACAUGUUCUCAGGUUCAGUGAUUUCAAGAACUAGCCAUUUCUACAGUCAGAUUCUUUAUCAUUUGUGCCUGAUAAAGAACCCAGUGGUAAAUCAUUCAAGGUAAAUGGGCAGUUCUGGUUCUAUUAUAAAUCACAAGAUUGAAAUCUGACUGAUGUGUUCCCGAAACAUCAAUGUUGACUUCGAUGAGAUGGCAUAUUUGAGAAUUACAAUCUGAGGACAGAGGCCCUUUUGGAAAUAUCAUCAAACUUGUCAUUAAAAAAAAAGUCUCAGAAGUAGUAUUUUGUGACUCUGCUAUUACUUCGAAGGAAAUAGCCACAUCACUUAUUGAGGUUUUAGUUUUAAUUUUGGGGGUGGAGGCCAGGUUGAAAACAUCUUAGAUUAUAGACUGUAAGUAGUGUGCCAUGAUAGGCUGGCUUGGUUGAGGUUAGGCAUAAAAAGAAACAUCUCAUUAAAGAGGAGGUCACACAAAUCAACCUACUUUGAUGCUUUUCUUUGACUUGCCCCAGAAGGCAACCCUAGGGUGAGAAUGUUCAUCUGGGCUCUGUUCCAUGGAGCAUUUCAGCCACGAGAAGUGGGAGGAGAUGCCCAGAGCUUCUGUGGCAAAGGAGCGAGUGUCUGAAAGGAUGAUCCCCACAUCCCAAUGAUUUCUGAAAUAAAAUCCUCCCCACCCCCAAAUCGUAAACAACCAGCACAUCAGAACGUACUGAAUAGUCUUAGGUUACAUAACAUCAAUUAGAUCAUGCUACAGGGGCCAUGUAUUACAUUUUAACUCGUCACAGAUACAUUACGUUAGCACUUCACAGAUCCACAGGGUCCCAGGCAGCUUUGGGGUAUUGAGUGAAUUGGUGAUUGUGUAGGACUUGACGAAGCCCAGACAAAAACACUUCUUUAGAUUUUUCCGUAUUGUCGUUACACUCUUAUUAGGGGGUGCAGACAUCCUGCAAAUAUUUCUUACAGAAUAAGCUAAAAAUUUAGACAGUGGUUAUUGUAUCGGUUGUACUGAAUGGUUGAUUUAUGGCCGUGAACCAGAUACGACAGAUUUUUAAAACUCCGGGAACCUUUACAUUUUCCAGUGACAGGCAGUGCAAGCACUAUAUUUUUAAUUGGUCCCUUCUUUUAAGUCAGGAGGUGAAAUGUUAUCAUGCAAAUCUCUCCUGAGUUGCAUGGAAACUAAUAAAAUCACAAAGGUUUCUAUUUGUACGCUAUGAACACAGACUGUAAUGAAGCCGAAACAGCGAUCUCUAGGGGAUGAUGCUAUUUAAAUGCUAGGCAGGGCUUUGAAACGAUUCUAAUGGUGAAGAGAGAAACCAGCAAGGGAGUGGGUCCCGUUCUUUCCUCCCUACCUCUCAGUGCCUGUUCACCCACGCUCCUCUUUACUUCCUGACCUCAGAAAGAAUUAACUUAGAACAAAGGCCUCUAAUCUCUAGUACAUCCUGUCUGUUACCUGUUGUAGCAAACAGCAGUGAAUUCUCAGACAUUCUCUCUUAGCCACUUUCUCUUCCUCCUUAGUCAUUGCAUUGAUCCUACACGUAGUGGUGCUUUUGUUUUGGUAAGUCUAUGUGAACUGGAGUAAUUGACUUCUUAGGGGAAAAAAAGGUAACAAACUUUUUUUUUUUUUUGAGUAGUUACUAUGCAUCAAGCACUGUCUUAAGCUCCUUAUGUUUAUUAUGUUAUUUAACUUUGAAAACACUCCUAUGGGGGCACUCAGUUGGUUGAAUGCCCGACUCUUGAAUUCUGGUCACGUCAU
Panthera uncia (snow leopard) is the source of this 4651-nucleotide long non-coding RNA. RefSeq lists it as uncharacterized. Lineage: Eukaryota; Metazoa; Chordata; Mammalia; Carnivora; Felidae. The record is from RefSeq and is a predicted model, not a curated record. The transcript has 3 exons.